This is a long non-coding RNA of Dermacentor andersoni, 137 nucleotides long. RefSeq lists it as uncharacterized. NCBI's taxonomy places the organism in Eukaryota, Metazoa, Arthropoda, Arachnida, Ixodida, Ixodidae. The record is from RefSeq and is a predicted model, not a curated record.
AUCAGUCGCGCCAACCGCCGCUCCGACGGCGUUCACGGCGGGCGCCACGCAGGCCGGCCACGGUCGGCCAUCAGUCGCCGCGACGGCGGUUCCAACGAGGGUAGCCACCGCCGUCACGAGGGCGGCGGUGCAGACAG